RNAcentral lists this transfer RNA (95 nucleotides) under Microcaldota archaeon. RNAcentral's name for it is "tRNA-Pro". Lineage: Archaea; Nanobdellati; Microcaldota. The record is from RNAcentral.
GGGGUCGUCGGCUAGCUUGGUUAGGCUUUGUGCCUAGGGCGCACAAGACCCGCGUUCAAAGGGCAAUCGUUUGCCUGGAAAUCGCGGCGACCCCG